UAGGGAAUCUUCCACAAUGGACGAAAGUCUGAUGGAGCAACGCCGCGUGAGUGAAGAAGGGUUUCGGCUCGUAAGGCUCUGUUGUCGGGGACGAAUGUGCAGUAUUUGAAUAAAUUACUGCAAUGACGGUACCUGACGAGGAAGCCACGGCUAACUACGUGCCAGCAGCCGCGGUAAUACGUAGGUGGCAAGCGUUGUCCGGAAUUAUUGGGCGUAGAGGGAGCGCAGGCGGGAAGGUAAGUCGGUCUUAAAAGUGCGGGGCUCAACCCCGUGAUGGGAUCGAAACUAUCUUUCUUGAGUGCAGGAGAGGAAAGUGGAAUUCCUAGUGUAGCGGUGAAAUGCGUAGAUAUUAGGAGGAACACCAGUGGCGAAGGCGACUUUCUGGACUGUAACUGUCGCUGAGGCUCGAAAGCCAGGGGAGCGAACGGGAUUAGAUACCCCGGUAGUCCUGGCCGUAAACGAUGAAUACUAGGUGUGGGAGGUAUCGACCCCUUCCGUGCCGGAGUUAACGCAAUAAGUAUUCCGCCUGGGGAGUACGGUCGCAAGACUG
RNAcentral lists this ribosomal RNA (550 nucleotides) under uncultured bacterium. RNAcentral's name for it is "bacterial SSU rRNA". It matches the Rfam family "Bacterial small subunit ribosomal RNA", at positions 355 to 896 of the family's 1533-position model. The record is from RNAcentral.